RNAcentral lists this ribosomal RNA (639 nucleotides) under uncultured bacterium. RNAcentral describes it as "bacterial SSU rRNA". It matches the Rfam family "Bacterial small subunit ribosomal RNA", at positions 202 to 842 of the family's 1533-position model. The record is from RNAcentral.
AAAAACUCCGGUGGUAUACGAUGGAUCCGCGUCUGAUUAGCCAGUUGGCGGGGUAACGGCCCACCAAAGCGACGAUCAGUAGCCGGCCUGAGAGGGUGAACGGCCACAUUGGGACUGAGACACGGCCCAAACUCCUACGGGAGGCAGCAGUGGGGAAUAUUGCACAAUGGGGGAAACCCUGAUGCAGCGACGCCGCGUGAGUGAAGAAGUAUUUCGGUACGUAAAGCUCUAUCAGCAGGGAAGAAAAACCGGCCUUAGGGCCGCCAGACGGUACCUGACUAAGAAGCCCCGGCUAACUACGUGCCAGCAGCCGCGGUAAUACGUAGGGGGCAAGCGUUAUCCGGAUUUACUGGGUGUAAAGGGAGCGUAGACGGCAGCGCAAGUCUGGAGUGAAAUGCCGGGGCCCAACCCCGGAACUGCUUUGGAAACUGUGCAGCUCGAGUGCAGGAGAGGUAAGCGGAAUUCCUAGUGUAGCGGUGAAAUGCGUAGAUAUUAGGAGGAACACCAGUGGCGAAGGCGGCUUACUGGACUGUAACUGACGUUGAGGCUCGAAAGCGUGGGGAGCAAACAGGAUUAGAUACCCUGGUAGUCCACGCCGUAAACGAUGAUUACUAGGUGUCGGGGGGCCAAGGCCCUCCG